Long non-coding RNA from Mus musculus (house mouse), 5101 nucleotides. RefSeq annotates it as predicted gene, 52797. The transcript is spliced from 3 exons. The record is from RefSeq and is a predicted model, not a curated record. Lineage: Eukaryota; Metazoa; Chordata; Mammalia; Rodentia; Muridae.
CCUGGUCAAUGGCUAAUGACAUCCUUUAAGGAAAAAUCCUUUUACAUUAGUUACACAAUCUCAGGGGACCUUCCUUGUGAUGGCCACAGGAAACAUGGUAAACUUUGUUCUUGGAGAGGCAUUCACGUCUUUGCUGAGAGGAAAAAAAAGAAAAGUGCAGGAUAUGAAAACGUUCAGAGACAAGAGGCUGACAAGUAGAAUUGGUGGUCUAGGCUUCACUUUGGAGGAGGUGUGGCAGAGAGAGUCUUGUUGGCCAGGAGACAGACCGUAAUGGCUGGAUGCGUAAUACGUAAUGGAUGCGUGAAGGUGAGUGAAUUCAUGGCUACUCAGUUGAAGGUGCUUGGCCAAGGGGUAACUAAGAAAGCAAAGCUAUUUGUAGCUACAGAAGGAUGAGUCUCAUUCAUUUAAAAAUGUGUGCAGCUGUAUAUUAUAUUGAUAGUGUGUACAUAUACACGUGUUACAUUUAUGUCUUUUGAUUUGUUUGUGGUUUUGGCAGGAGUUUUGGAGGCAAGGUGGAGACAGACUCAAAUAAAAAAAAAACAACAAAAGAAUACCAAUUAGUUAGAACAUGGCUUUAGAGCUAUGAUCUGCUUUUGUGUGUUUGUUCCCGGGCACCCUAUCUAGUGAGAAGCAGCAGUGUGAAGUAACUCUCACCCGUCACACACUCAGCUGGCUCAGAGGGGCGUCAGUGAGGACACGCAGCUUCUGUGUGUCUCUUCGGCAGUCGAAGUUUGCCUACCCAGUUGCUUAUUAGACUCUGAAUCCAGGAAAAGUCAAUAGAGGAGAAGCUGGAAGCCGUCCAUUUGUGAGCAGCUACCAAGACUGAAGGAGGGUGUGUGUGUGUGUGUGUGUGUGUGUGUGUGUGUGUGCGUGCACACACAAUUUAAAUGGCCAUGCAGCUUGGGUAGCAUCCAUGGGCUUCAAUUACCUUUGGUAGCUUUGCUCCCAAGAGAAGCAAAUCCUUGAGAGCCAGCUGUAGAAAUGUUAAUUAUAAGAUGGGGGUGGAGGUGGGGGAGGCUUCUUAAUGGCACAGUUUUUAUGGGCAGAUGGACUUGGUUUAAAGAGGCAGUGAAUGGGGCUGUGUGUCUCAUGACAUUCAUCCAUCACUGAUACUAGGCAGGAAAAGUCCAUCAAAGCCACCAGGAACUCUGGGACCCCAUGUAGUCCAUACAAACAGUGGAAGACUAAUGGCUGGGGUAGAGGGAGCCACCAAUGCAGAGGUCUCACUCAUUUUAAAAUUUUUAUUAUUAUUGUAUUGUGUGUGUCUGUGAGUGUGUGUGUGUGUGUGUGUGUGUGUGUGUGUGUGUCUGGGGGCAGUUCCUGAGUAGAUGUAUGUGCUGCCCCCAUGUUCAGGAGCCCACAUAGGUUGGAAGAGGAGUGACAAAGGAUUGUGAGCUACCAUGUGGGUGCUGGGUAAUGAACCCAGGUCCUCUGGAAGAGAAGUAAGCAUAUUUAACCACGGGGCCAUCUUGUUAGCUCCAAGAUGUGAUUAUUAUAGCAUUUUAGACACAGGAAUGGCAGCCUGAUGGCUUCAGUCUGCCCAAAAUAAUUUAUGUAAUUUUGCUAUUGUGGAGAGAUAUCUGGGAUAUUUUUUUUUCCUGGGAAAAAUCAGCUUAUAAGACAGAAUAUUGAAUGGGUCUAUUUUUGUAAAUACUACAUAAAAACUUGGAAAAACUGUCUGGAAAGAAAUAAAAAUUCAAAUAUCAGUUAUGUUUGUGGGGGGUAGGUUUACGGGUGGUUUCUACUUUCUCCUGUUUUUUUUUUUUUUUUUUACCUAAGGACUCAAAUGGUUACUCACUGAGUGCACAUUCCUUACAUAUGAGAAUAUUCUACAAGUGUUUUGGCACUGACAGCUGGAGGGACAGCUCUGUGGAUAAAGCACUUAGUAGGCAAGAAUGGAGACCAGAGUUUGGAUCCUCUGAACCCACGUUAAAACUGGAUGGAUGUUGUAGCCAGGUAUUCCAGCCCUUGGAGGGUAGAGAUGAGAUCCCAGAGCAAGUUGAUGAGCUAAGUUAACCACAUUAGCAAACUGUGAGCCCAUCUGAGACAUCCCGCCUAAAUGAAUAAAUAAGGUAGAGAGUGACUGAAGAGUGUUCCUGACUCCACCUCUGGGCCUCUACGUGCAUGCAAGCACACACACACAUACGUGCACACACAUGUGCACAUACACAUGCAUGAACACAUAUAUGUAUGCACACACACACACACACACACACACACACACACACACACACUUGGGGCACUGUGAUGACUUUGCUGGCUCCAGUAUAUUUGCAAGAAUGUUUAAGAUCUGCUAGCUACCUGGAGCUGUGGACUCUGUGGUAGGGAUACACUGUUUAGUCAGUGCUUAGACAGAUACUGCAAGGUGCCUAUGGUCUGAAGAAGAAAACAAAUCUAGAAUUUAAAAGCCAGCAAGUAAAGAUGACAGCUCCUAAUCUCAGCACACAAGCCUUGAAUGGAAACAGUCCUCUUGUUCUACUUUCAGGGGAUUUAAUUCUACGGCUGUAUGAGCGGGGGAAGUCUCCUAGGGGGGAUACAGAACAUUCUGCUCCGCUCCAUUUUAAAGUGCCUCGUUUCCCAUCUGCCUCCCACAUUCAUCUGAUUGUUCGUGUGAGAGGACGUAAGUUUCUGCGGAAGUUGGAUUUGAAGAGAUCGGUAAGGGAGUCAUGUAUGUGUGUGAUGGUGAAGGGUGAGGCUGAGUCUUGUCCUGACUGUGGACAUGGCUGGGCUGAAUCUGAAAGAGGAAAUGCUUAUAGCAUCCACAAAACCCUCACACAAGAGUGAGUCCCCCAAAUCAGCAGUAGCAACGGAAGGAUCCACACACUGGAUACCCGAUGCAAAUGACCCUACAGACUUAGAACCAACCAGCCAGGAAGAGACCCAUAGCCCCACAUAAUGGACAAGGAUGCCCAUAUGCAGGAGCCUAGUGCUGAAGUGACAGUUCUUAGGACAUGCCAGGCUCUUGCUCCAAAUCUAUCAUUGGCUGUCUGGGUGACUUUGGGAAGAGACCUAACCUGCUCACUCUUCAGCUCCCAGCAUCAGUAUCUGGCUGUGCCACACAGGGUGAUUAAAUGACCUGAACAGAAAAUAUAAAGCCCUUAGGACAAUGCCAACCACACAGUGUUCAACAGACAUUGAUUGCUUCUGGUGCACGAAGGGACAAAUAGUCCAGAUCUGUUUGAGUCACAGCCCUUUCUAUGCCCCAAACAUUCAAUAUCAUUGCUCUCCAUAUCUGUGGGGAACUGGACCCUCGAGGAUACCAAAAUCCACAGACGCUUAAGCCUCUUAAAUAAAAUAGUGCAGGUUGUACAGACUUACAUACCUUGUGCCAUGUAUAGCUAGAGAUUUACAGUACCCAGUACGACGUAAACACUAGUAAAUACAUAUCAGUAGCUGCUAUAUAUCACUGUUCGGGUCCCAGUUUCUUAAACUACGAGUCACAAAAGAGUUGACAACAGUGAAAAGGCUCCUGAACACACAAUGAGCAAACCGGAGGUAACAAAUUGGAGGUUUUUCUAGCAGCGUUAGCCUGUAUUGCACGACGUGAUUCCACUGUGGUGUUGGUAGUGAGCACACAACACAUGCCAAGGGACAAAGCCUGAAACUCGGCUCCAAUUGCAGACCACAUCACAACUGUCGUGCUCUUACUGUAAUGCAAAGCCUCUUUGUUUGUUUUGAAAUAUAACAGUUUAAUUAUAGAAAUCAGAGACUUAAUAUUUCCCUACCGUUAUCCCCCCCACCAGCAGCUAUUCCAUUAGUGCGCCUUCGGACGGCGUCCUUAGAAUGACUGAGUUUAAACACUGCAGCUUGUGCUGCUGACAUGAAUUUCAUACAAGAAAGAAAUCCUUAAAGAAUUUUGGUUCAGGAUUAGAACUAGAAUUUCCAACCAUUUUUGAAAAUGGUUGUAAACACACGUCUACCAUUUUAUAAUACCGUGUUAUUUAUAGGAGCAGUAUUGUCAGUAUUGAUCGGUCAAAAUAUUGACCAACUCUGAAAAACACUGAGGCUGUGUGAUGCCCUGGAGUAUCUAAUAUUUAGUCAUAAUUUCUUUGUGUCAAAACAAACAAGCAGAUCCAUUUCAUUAGUAUGCACAUUUGCUGUAGUCUUUAAUAAACAGCAAAAUUAUGUGUACACCAAAGAGCUGUUUUAAAAUAAAUUUACUUAUUAGUAGCAAAUGUUUGAUUUUCAUACCUAUUUCCUAUUUUACCUACCUAAUGUGGGGCUUUGAGUAAGAAUGGCUCCCAUUAGGCUCAUUAAUUUGAAUGCUUAGAUGCCAGGCAGUGGCACUAUUAAGAGGUGUGACCUUUUUGGUGUAAGUAUGACCUUGUUGGAAGAAGUGUGUGUGUGUGUGUGUGUGUGUGUGUGUGUGUAUGUGCGUGCACGCACGCACGUGUGUGCCUAUAGGUGGAGUGAGAUUUUAAAACCCCAUACUAGGCCCAGGCGUGCACUCUCUGCCUGCCUUCCUGUUUGUCUGUCUGUCUCUCCCCUCCCUUCCUUUCUCUCUCAGCCUGCACAUGAGCUCUCAGAUCCUGUGCUAUGCAUGCCACCGUGUUCCCUGCCACAAUAAUGGACCAAACCUCAGAAACCACAAACAAGCCCUCAGUUGCUUGGAAAGACGUGCCUGGGCCAUGGCUGUCUCUUCACUGCAAUAGAAUUAAGACAUCUGCAUACCCAGGAUCAAGUAAACGUUUCUUGGCUGACUAGAGGCUACAAGUGGAAAGUGCUUACAUAUUCCAUAUUCACACAGGGGAGGGGGUCAUCCGCUGGAUCCACAGACAACCUUCCAGGGACUACAACUCCCAGGAAAAAUGACUCUGUCUCUGCAACCAACCAACUGCCAAAUCUCCAUGCUAGAAUUCCGAGAGUCUUGAUCUUCCACAGAUCUUGUAUAGGAAACCACAACAGCUGCGAGCAGAGGUUCGUCAGUGUCUAAUCAACUUAUGUGGUUUUAGCUGAAUGUCAAGUGGUUGAGGUGAGAACCUGCUCCCUAGACUCCACUGUGGCUAGGUGUGUCUAUUAUGCCCAGGCCUAGAUCUGGAUGCUGGGAAAUCUCAGGAUCACGAUGUGAGCUCAUAGCUUCUGCUUCAGUGCCAUGCCCGCC